Molecule: ribosomal RNA, 479 nt
Filed under: uncultured bacterium
Lineage: Bacteria
Description: partial 16S ribosomal RNA
Rfam family: Bacterial small subunit ribosomal RNA
Source: RNAcentral
GGUGAACGCUAGCGGGAGGCCUAACACAUGCAAGCCGAGCGGUAUUGUUUCUUCGGAAAUGAGAGAGCGGCGUACGGGUGCGUAACACGUGUGCAACCUGCCUUUAUCUGGGGGAUAGCCUUUCGAAAGGAAGAUUAAUACUCCAUAAUAUAUUGAACGGCAUCGUUUAAUAUUGAAAGCUCCGGCGGAUAGAGAUGGGCACGCGCAAGAUUAGCUAGUUGGUGAGGUAACGGCUCACCAAGGCGAUGAUCUUUAGGGGGCCUGAGAGGGUGUUCCCCCACACUGGUACUGAGACACGGACCAGACUCCUACGGGAGGCAGCAGUGAGGAAUAUUGGUCAAUGGGUGCAAGCCUGAACCAGCCAUCCCGCGUGAAGGACGACUGCUCUAUGGGUUGUAAACUUCUUUUGUAUAGGGAUAAACCUACCCUCGAGAGGGUAGCUGAAGGUACUAUACGAAUAAGCACCGGCUAACUCCGUG